Molecule: ribosomal RNA, 365 nt
Filed under: uncultured soil bacterium
Lineage: Bacteria
Description: bacterial SSU rRNA
Rfam family: Bacterial small subunit ribosomal RNA
Source: RNAcentral
AGAGUGAACGCUGGCGGUAGGCCUAACACAUGCAAGUCGAACGGCAGCACAGUAGGAGCUUGCUCUUACGGGUGGCGAGUGGCGGACGGGUGAGGAAUACAUCGGAAUCUACCUUUUGGUGGGGGAUAACGUAGGGAAACUUACGCUAAUACCGCAUACGCCCUUCGGGGGAAAGCCGGGACCAGCAAUGGCCUGGCGCUGAUAGAUGAGCCGAUGUCGGAUUAGCUAGUUGGUGAGGUAAUGGCUCACCAAGGCGACGAUCCGUAGCUGGUCUGAGAGGAUGAUCAGCCACACUGGAACUGAGACCGACGGUCCAGACCUCCGUACGGGAGGCAGCAGGUAGGGAAUAUUGGACUAAGUGGGCG